RNAcentral lists this long non-coding RNA (2029 nucleotides) under Gossypium raimondii (Peruvian cotton). Its description in RNAcentral is "long non-coding RNA (GRAI_LNC003096)". Lineage: Eukaryota; Viridiplantae; Streptophyta; Magnoliopsida; Malvales; Malvaceae. The record is from RNAcentral.
AAUGAAGAACAAUCUCUUUAUCACAUUCCCUACCGUAGACGCAAGACUCAUCAACAAGAGAAUUGGUUCUUGGUCUCUCUCUUAUCCCUCUAUCAUUCUCGACUAGACUCAAAGCAUCCUUCAUUGCAACAGCCUCUUCCAAUCUAGCAGUAAGACUCUUUAAUCUGAACUCCAUUUUUGUGCUAAACUUAGCAGUGGAAGGAUUCAAACGAAGAAAGCAAGCUGAAAAAUAUCUCCCUACCUUGCAGGAGGGCGAAGCGGCGUCCGGAUCUUCCGUUAUUUGGCGACGCCUAGCCUCUGUGGUGAGCUCGUCGAUGAUAUCCUCAGCGUCGUAAGCAACGUCUCUUAAAUCACUAAGCCACAGCUCCAGUGAGCGGCUCGAGGUUUGCUUUUCUUCAACAUUUUCAAGGGAAGCAUUGAUGAUGCACAGCAGCGUUUGCCAUUUCUUGAGAUACGAUGAAAAUUUAUCUUUGUCAGCAAAUUUCAUAAAAAAGGGUCAAGGAGAUAACCUCCAUCAGCGAACGAGCCACGGCGGCGUCACCCAGAGAAGCGGAUUUACCUUUCAUCACUGAGAAGCGGCCCCGUUUUUGAACUUGCAUCAGUGUCUCUUAACGAAAGUUGAAAGGUUUAAAGGAAAGAAAAGGAAAGCCAAAACGUAUACCGGACUAUUCAUAUCUAUAACACUAGACUUAGUCGCUCGCACGUAAGUAUCUUUUAUUUUUUAUAUCAAAAAGAAUGCAAAUAAAGAAUAUUAGGGAGAGUUUGGAUGAGUAAUUGAAUGCGGUGCGCUGCAUUUAGUUUAAUUUGUUUCAUAUUAGAGUAUUGUUACAGUAUUUAAUUUCACUGCUACCGCUGUUUUUACACUAAUCGUAGGUAAACUCACCACCCAUCCAAACUCACACUUAAUCAACAAUCAUGGAAUGUACCUAUUUUAUCCUCUACUAAUAGUUUUUUAACAAGAAAAUGAGGGAAAUCAAUGAUUCUGAGUUUAAGAUACUUGCUAGUGUAAGUUUUUGUUCCCUUACCAUAUUAUCUUUUCUUCCAACAUAUUAAAAAUUAACAGUUUGAUCUUUUUAAUAAGUGUAGAAGAAGGAAAAAUUCGGAUUCCUCUCCUAUAUCAAUUCAAUAGCUAUUUUUAGCCCACCUGAGUAGUUAAUAUAAGCGUAAAUUUUAUUUAUAGUCAUUCAACUAUUAAUAAAUUUAUAUUUUAGUCACUCAAUCACAAAAACUUAUAAUUUAAUCACUCAACUAUCCGAUUUUGAUAAUUUAAGUCACUCUUCUACCAAAUUGUCAACCAACAUUAGGCGGUUAAGGUACUAUUCCUCAAAUACAAUGUUAGACACCUAAUGAUUAAUAAUUUUUUUUAUUUUGAUCACUCAACCAUAAAUAGUUACUAUUCCUCAUAAUAAUCACUAACAUUAUUGAUUUAUAACUUUUCUUUGACACAUAUCAAUUUUUAAUUGAAUAUCUUUUUUUUUAAUGGACUCAACAGUUCUAACUAUUGAACUAAUAGAUGUACCAACUUAGGAAAAACAAAAAGUUUAGAUACACUUAUAACAAAAAAAAAGUUUAAGUAUUAAAAUGAGAAAAUCCAUAGAGUAGAUACUAAUUUAUGAGUUAAGUUUUUUUUUUAGAUUUAUUUAACGGUUUGACUAAUAAUUUAACCGUAAGAGAUGUCAACUUAGAAAAAAAAAUCAUUUGGAUAGAAAAAAAUUAAGUGGUAAAAUGGGAAAAAUGGUAUGGUUUAGCUGAGUUUUUUUUUUUUUGGUAGAGAAAAGGUUUUAAUCAAAACAUAACAUAAAAAUUACACAACUCAUUAAACUGCUUAAACCAGAACCUAAACUAUCGAGAAUAGAUGCAAUAGAUUUUCCAAUUUCCUUAGGAGCCUGAACAACAAUUUGCAGGCCGAAUUCAUCUGUCACUAGGCUGAAAAGCCCGUCGACAAGGACACUUCUACGCUGCCAUCGACCCCUUCGCCACCAUUGCUAGAGUCAUUCUCUUUUGGUUCAAGAGAUUCAAUAAUAGCUGC